GCUGUAGGGAUUUGUCGAGAAGCUGUUGCUCCAGCUUUAGAAGAUCUUUUGAAGAUCUUCCAGAUCAGAUCCAGAUCUAAAUUUUGGAACAAAGAUUUGCAAGGAGAAGACAACCCAGAUCCUACUUGAGUAGAUACCGGUAGAGGGCAGGCAACUGCAUGGCUAUUUUUGAACCUCGGGCAUUGCUACGAUCAUCUACAGGGUAAUCUAGUUACCCUAGAGGUAUUUCUCUAAUCCUCAAAUUUUAUAUUUAAUUUUAGAUUAAAUAUCAGAUAAUAAGAAUCAGAUCUAAUAGAUCUUAGAUCU
Molecule: long non-coding RNA, 306 nt
Filed under: Elaeis guineensis (African oil palm)
Lineage: Eukaryota; Viridiplantae; Streptophyta; Magnoliopsida; Arecales; Arecaceae
Description: long non-coding RNA (EGUI_LNC072106)
Source: RNAcentral